CCAAUAGCGUAUAUUAAAGUUGCUGCAGUUAAAAAGCUCGUAGUUGAAUUUCGGGACCAAUAUGUCGGUCGUGCCUCGGUACGUACUGGCAUUAUUGGUUUCUCCCUUCUGAAGAACCUUGAUGUCAUUAAUUUGGUGUCUUGGGGAAUCAGGACUGUUACUUUGAAAAAAUUAGAGUGUUUAAAGCAGGCUCGCGCUUGAAUACAUUAGCAUGGAAUAAUGAAAUAGGACGUUUGAUUCUAUUUUGUUGGUUUCUAGGAUCGACGUAAUGAUUAAUAGGGAUAGUUGGGGGCAUUAGUAUUCAAUUGUCAGAGGUGAAAUUCUUGGAUUUAUUGAAGACUAACUACUGCGAAAGCAUUUGCCAAGGAUGUUUUCAUUAAUCAAGAACGAAAGUUAGGGGAUCGAAGACGAUCAGAUACCGUCGUAGUCUUAACCAUAAACUAUGCCGACUAGGGAUCGGAUGAUGUUAAUUUUUAAUGACUCAUUCGGCGCCUUACG
Molecule: ribosomal RNA, 498 nt
Filed under: uncultured Glomeromycotina
Lineage: Eukaryota; Fungi; Glomeromycota
Description: partial small subunit ribosomal RNA
Rfam family: Eukaryotic small subunit ribosomal RNA
Source: RNAcentral